RNAcentral lists this ribosomal RNA (497 nucleotides) under uncultured bacterium. RNAcentral describes it as "partial 16S ribosomal RNA". It matches the Rfam family "Bacterial small subunit ribosomal RNA", at positions 28 to 507 of the family's 1533-position model. The record is from RNAcentral.
GAUGAACGCUGGCGGCGUGCCUAAUACAUGCAAGUCGAGCGAACAGACGAGGAGCUUGCUCCUCUGACGUUAGCGGCGGACGGGUGAGUAACACGUGGAUAACCUACCUAUAAGACUGGGAUAACUUCGGGAAACCGGAGCUAAUACCGGAUAAUAUAUUUAACCGCAUGGUUCAAUAGUGAAAGACGGUUUUGCUGUCACUUAUAGAUGGAUCCGCGCCGCAUUAGCUAGUUGGUAAGGUAACGGCUUACCAAGGCAACGAUGCGUAGCCGACCUGAGAGGGUGAUCGGCCACACUGGAACUGAGAACCGGUCCAGACUCCUACGGAGGGCAGCAGUAGGGAAUCUUCCGCAAUGGGCGAAAGCCUGACGGGGCAACGCCGCGGGGGUGAUGAAGGUCUUCGGAUCGUAAAACUCUGUUAUUAGGGAAGAACAAAUGUGUAAGUAACUAUGCACGUCUUGACGGUACCUAAUCAGAAAGCCACGGCUAACUACGUG